AUACGGAGGGUGCAAGCGUUGUCCGGAAUCACUGGGCGUAAAGCGCACGUAGGCGGUCUUGUAAGUCAUCUGUGAAAUCCCGGAGCUCAACUCCGGGCCUGCAGUUGAUACUGCAUGACUAGAGCUCGGUAGAGGCGAGUGGAACUCCCGGUGUAGCGGUGGAAUGCGUAGAUAUCGGGAGGAACACCAGUGGCGAAGGCGGCUCGCUGGGCCGUUGCUGACGCUGAGGUGCGAAAGCGUGGGGAGCAAACAGGAUUAGAUACCCCAGUAGUCC
Molecule: ribosomal RNA, 274 nt
Filed under: uncultured bacterium
Lineage: Bacteria
Description: partial 16S ribosomal RNA
Rfam family: Bacterial small subunit ribosomal RNA
Source: RNAcentral